Molecule: ribosomal RNA, 464 nt
Filed under: uncultured bacterium
Lineage: Bacteria
Description: partial 16S ribosomal RNA
Rfam family: Bacterial small subunit ribosomal RNA
Source: RNAcentral
CUACGGGUUGCUGCAGUGGGGAAUAUUGCACAAUGGGCGCAAGCCUGAUGCAGCCAUGCCGCGUGUAUGAAGAAGGCCUUCGGGUUGUAAAGUACUUUCAGCGGGGAGGAAGGGAGUAAAGUUAAUACCUUUGCUCAUUGACGUUACCCGCAGAAGAAGCACCGGCGAACUCCGUGCCAGCAGCCGCGGUAAUACGGAGGGUGCAAGCGUUAAUCGGAAUUACUGGGCGUAAAGCGCACGCAGGCGGUUUGUUAAGUCAGAUGUGAAAUCCCCGGGCUCAACCUGGGAACUGCAUCUGAUACUGGCAAGCUUGAGUCUCGUAGAGGGGGGUAGAAUUCCAGGUGUAGCGGUGAAAUGCGUAGAGACCUGGAGGAAUACCGGUGGCGAAGGCGGCCCCCUGGACGAAGACUGACGCUCAGGUGCGAAAGCGUGGGGAGCAAACAGGAUUAGAUACCCUCGUAGUC